This 253-nucleotide ribosomal RNA is filed under the name uncultured bacterium. RNAcentral's name for it is "partial 16S ribosomal RNA". It matches the Rfam family "Bacterial small subunit ribosomal RNA", at positions 524 to 776 of the family's 1533-position model. The record is from RNAcentral.
UACGUAGGUGGCAAGCGUUGUCCGGAAUUAUUGGGCGUAAAGCGCGCGCAGGCGGCUUCUUAAGUCUGAUGUGAAAUCUCGGGGCUCAACCCCGAGCGGCCAUUGGAAACUGGGAAGCUUGAGUACAGAAGAGGAGAGUGGAAUUCCACGUGUAGCGGUGAAAUGCGUAGAUAUGUGGAGGGACACCAGUGGCGAAGGCGACUCUCUGGUCUGUAACUGACGCUGAGGCGCGAAAGCGUGGGGAGCAAACAGG